This 68-nucleotide transfer RNA is filed under the name Ambystoma talpoideum (mole salamander). Its description in RNAcentral is "tRNA-Val". The record is from RNAcentral. Lineage: Eukaryota; Metazoa; Chordata; Amphibia; Caudata; Ambystomatidae.
CAACCGGUAGCUUAAUAAAAGCAUAUUAUUUACACUAAUAAAAUACUUGAUAGGGCAAGUCCGGAUGA